Molecule: ribosomal RNA, 2904 nt
Filed under: Escherichia coli
Lineage: Bacteria; Pseudomonadati; Pseudomonadota; Gammaproteobacteria; Enterobacterales; Enterobacteriaceae
Description: 23S ribosomal RNA
Rfam family: Bacterial large subunit ribosomal RNA
Source: RNAcentral
GGUUAAGCGACUAAGCGUACACGGUGGAUGCCCUGGCAGUCAGAGGCGAUGAAGGACGUGCUAAUCUGCGAUAAGCGUCGGUAAGGUGAUAUGAACCGUUAUAACCGGCGAUUUCCGAAUGGGGAAACCCAGUGUGAUUCGUCACACUAUCAUUAACUGAAUCCAUAGGUUAAUGAGGCGAACCGGGGGAACUGAAACAUCUAAGUACCCCGAGGAAAAGAAAUCAACCGAGAUUCCCCCAGUAGCGGCGAGCGAACGGGGAGCAGCCCAGAGCCUGAAUCAGUGUGUGUGUUAGUGGAAGCGUCUGGAAAGGCGUGCGAUACAGGGUGACAGCCCCGUACACAAAAAUGCACAUACUGUGAGCUCGAUGAGUAGGGCGGGACACGUGGUAUCCUGUCUGAAUAUGGGGGGACCAUCCUCCAAGGCUAAAUACUCCUGACUGACCGAUAGUGAACCAGUACCGUGAGGGAAAGGCGAAAAGAACCCCGGCGAGGGGAGUGAAAAAGAACCUGAAACCGUGUACGUACAAGCAGUGGGAGCACGCUUAGGCGUGUGACUGCGUACCUUUUGUAUAAUGGGUCAGCGACUUAUAUUCUGUAGCAAGGUUAACCGAAUAGGGGAGCCGAAGGGAAACCGAGUCUUAACUGGGCGUUAAGUUGCAGGGUAUAGACCCGAAACCCGGUGAUCUAGCCAUGGGCAGGUUGAAGGUUGGGUAACACUAACUGGAGGACCGAACCGACUAAUGUUGAAAAAUUAGCGGAUGACUUGUGGCUGGGGGUGAAAGGCCAAUCAAACCGGGAGAUAGCUGGUUCUCCCCGAAAGCUAUUUAGGUAGCGCCUCGUGAAUUCAUCUCCGGGGGUAGAGCACUGUUUCGGCAAGGGGGUCAUCCCGACUUACCAACCCGAUGCAAACUGCGAAUACCGGAGAAUGUUAUCACGGGAGACACACGGCGGGUGCUAACGUCCGUCGUGAAGAGGGAAACAACCCAGACCGCCAGCUAAGGUCCCAAAGUCAUGGUUAAGUGGGAAACGAUGUGGGAAGGCCCAGACAGCCAGGAUGUUGGCUUAGAAGCAGCCAUCAUUUAAAGAAAGCGUAAUAGCUCACUGGUCGAGUCGGCCUGCGCGGAAGAUGUAACGGGGCUAAACCAUGCACCGAAGCUGCGGCAGCGACGCUUAUGCGUUGUUGGGUAGGGGAGCGUUCUGUAAGCCUGUGAAGGUGUGCUGUGAGGCAUGCUGGAGGUAUCAGAAGUGCGAAUGCUGACAUAAGUAACGAUAAAGCGGGUGAAAAGCCCGCUCGCCGGAAGACCAAGGGUUCCUGUCCAACGUUAAUCGGGGCAGGGUGAGUCGACCCCUAAGGCGAGGCCGAAAGGCGUAGUCGAUGGGAAACAGGUUAAUAUUCCUGUACUUGGUGUUACUGCGAAGGGGGGACGGAGAAGGCUAUGUUGGCCGGGCGACGGUUGUCCCGGUUUAAGCGUGUAGGCUGGUUUUCCAGGCAAAUCCGGAAAAUCAAGGCUGAGGCGUGAUGACGAGGCACUACGGUGCUGAAGCAACAAAUGCCCUGCUUCCAGGAAAAGCCUCUAAGCAUCAGGUAACAUCAAAUCGUACCCCAAACCGACACAGGUGGUCAGGUAGAGAAUACCAAGGCGCUUGAGAGAACUCGGGUGAAGGAACUAGGCAAAAUGGUGCCGUAACUUCGGGAGAAGGCACGCUGAUAUGUAGGUGAAGUCCCUCGCGGAUGGAGCUGAAAUCAGUCGAAGAUACCAGCUGGCUGCAACUGUUUAUUAAAAACACAGCACUGUGCAAACACGAAAGUGGACGUAUACGGUGUGACGCCUGCCCGGUGCCGGAAGGUUAAUUGAUGGGGUCAGCGCAAGCGAAGCUCUUGAUCGAAGCCCCGGUAAACGGCGGCCGUAACUAUAACGGUCCUAAGGUAGCGAAAUUCCUUGUCGGGUAAGUUCCGACCUGCACGAAUGGCGUAAUGAUGGCCAGGCUGUCUCCACCCGAGACUCAGUGAAAUUGAACUCGCUGUGAAGAUGCAGUGUACCCGCGGCAAGACGGAAAGACCCCGUGAACCUUUACUAUAGCUUGACACUGAACAUUGAGCCUUGAUGUGUAGGAUAGGUGGGAGGCUUUGAAGUGUGGACGCCAGUCUGCAUGGAGCCGACCUUGAAAUACCACCCUUUAAUGUUUGAUGUUCUAACGUUGACCCGUAAUCCGGGUUGCGGACAGUGUCUGGUGGGUAGUUUGACUGGGGCGGUCUCCUCCUAAAGAGUAACGGAGGAGCACGAAGGUUGGCUAAUCCUGGUCGGACAUCAGGAGGUUAGUGCAAUGGCAUAAGCCAGCUUGACUGCGAGCGUGACGGCGCGAGCAGGUGCGAAAGCAGGUCAUAGUGAUCCGGUGGUUCUGAAUGGAAGGGCCAUCGCUCAACGGAUAAAAGGUACUCCGGGGAUAACAGGCUGAUACCGCCCAAGAGUUCAUAUCGACGGCGGUGUUUGGCACCUCGAUGUCGGCUCAUCACAUCCUGGGGCUGAAGUAGGUCCCAAGGGUAUGGCUGUUCGCCAUUUAAAGUGGUACGCGAGCUGGGUUUAGAACGUCGUGAGACAGUUCGGUCCCUAUCUGCCGUGGGCGCUGGAGAACUGAGGGGGGCUGCUCCUAGUACGAGAGGACCGGAGUGGACGCAUCACUGGUGUUCGGGUUGUCAUGCCAAUGGCACUGCCCGGUAGCUAAAUGCGGAAGAGAUAAGUGCUGAAAGCAUCUAAGCACGAAACUUGCCCCGAGAUGAGUUCUCCCUGACUCCUUGAGAGUCCUGAAGGAACGUUGAAGACGACGACGUUGAUAGGCCGGGUGUGUAAGCGCAGCGAUGCGUUGAGCUAACCGGUACUAAUGAACCGUGAGGCUUAACCUU